UCCCUCCUCCUCAUCUUCUUCUUCUUGUUGCAGGUUUAGGGAUGUAGGGGGUGCAGGUUUAGGGAUGAGUUUCAAAUAUUAUUAUUUUAAGAAAAUUCAGGUUUUCUAAAAAGAAAUUAAAAAAAUAUUUUUUUUACCACGUGACAGAGAUUUGGCAGUCAUAUGGCAUAUAUGUGGCAGUCACAUCAGCGCUUAACUGAUCAAUGAAUGGAAAAUGUAACGGAGAUAUUAUUUUGAAAUAAAAUAGUGCUUAAGCUAUGAAAAUAAAAUGUUUUAAAGAUGUUCUAAAAAAUUGAAAUCGCCUUAUGAAAGUGUAAUUUACCCAACUAUAUAAGUAUAAGUUGCUCUGUUACUAAUUUUCUAUUAGCAGUAGAAACAAACAAACGAACAAACCAGAAAGCAAAAUGCGAUGGCGGCAAUGAGAUCCGGUGGGAGCCUGGUGUUGCUAACUCGAGCGUUGAUCACUCGCUCCAUGGAGUCGUCUCGGGGAGCUACUCGCUACUUGAGCGCAGGCAAAGGCAAAAUCCUCAGCGAGGAGGAGCGCGCCGCCGAGAAUGUCUACAUCCAGAAGGCUGAUGGAAGCUGAAAUGGUGAUUGGCACUUUGGCAGUACUUGAAAAACUUUUCCUUUGGAUGUAAUCAUGAAUAAUAACACUGUAUAUAACUUAUGUGAGAAUCGCUCUGCGUUGAGUAUCGGUGUUCUUCGUGGCAUCUUUUCUUAAACAUUAAUGGGAUAACUUGGAUUUUUUAUGA
Long non-coding RNA from Pyrus x bretschneideri (Chinese white pear), 752 nucleotides. RefSeq lists it as uncharacterized. Lineage: Eukaryota; Viridiplantae; Streptophyta; Magnoliopsida; Rosales; Rosaceae. The record is from RefSeq and is a predicted model, not a curated record. The transcript has 2 exons.